Molecule: long non-coding RNA, 3900 nt
Organism: Aedes albopictus (Asian tiger mosquito)
Lineage: Eukaryota; Metazoa; Arthropoda; Insecta; Diptera; Culicidae
Exons: 2
Source: RefSeq, a predicted model, not a curated record
UUAAAGAAAGAAAAGGACUUGUGACAAAAACGCAAAGUAACAAAACGGCAAAUUAACAAAGAGAAACAAUAUGGAGUAUAAGGGGAAUAUUAUACAAACGAGACAGUUAAAAGAGUAAUGGCGAAAAGUGUAUGAAAAUGCUUGAAUUAAGGUACAAAUAUAAUACAAUCUUUUAAUAAUUAUAUAUUUUUUUUCUUUAUAUCAUCUCGUUUUAGUUUUUUUUAGAAUAACCAUAAUACAUAGUAUUUUAUUACAGAAGUAGAUCCCUCAUCAACCAACCGUAGCAAAGCCUUCAAAAGGGGGAAAGGAGGAGUGAUUUUGUAGCAAAAUCUCAACCGCAAGCCUUACCCACGGAACCGGAAGGCGCAGACAGGAGAUGCGUAAAGGAAAAGCAAUAAUGACACUUUUUAUUCCGCACAGGUAAACAACAGUAACAGAAAACAAUGAAUUUCUUCAAUUUAAGCCAGCCCCAACUUUUAUUCAAAAAAUCUGAAGUUUGCAAUUGAAUUAUUCGGUAAUUGCAUCUCAGUAAAAUUCCAGAGGAUCUACCUCACAAUAUUAUAAAUGCAAUAAAAAAAAAUCUAUUACAAGAGUCAUCAUCAAAUGGGUUAAUUUUGGGUUCCUAUGAGAAAUUGAAAAAAAAAUGUAAUUAAAUAAGUAUACUGAGCAAGAAACAAAAGAAAACAACGAUGUUAUUAACGAUCUUUUUCGAUGGAAUUUAAUGUCAUGUUUGAAUAAAUUAUUUUGACAAAAUCUAAACAUAACUUCCUCGAGAGAUGACGCGGGAGGACAAGACGAGAAGGCAACAUCCGGCGAGAGCAACCAGAGGAGCAGUUUCAACGGUACCUCUAUGAAAACGUACCACAGUCAAAUUGGUACGAAGACGAGAAAUAACAGAUCGGAUGGAAAGUUGAAGGUCAAAGGUGCUGGUAUGGCGGAGGAGAGGAUUCAGCGAACAUAAUUUUUCACCGGAGACGAUUCAAGGUCAACUCGGGUGGCACAUCGAGACAAAUAUUAUUGUACAUCUGCGAAUCUGCUAAUACGAACCAACACAAUGCAGAGCAUCGGGAAAAACUACAACAACAACAAAACAACAACAACAAAAACAACAACAACAACAACAAUUCAUACAGACAUAUGAUGAGAGAAGGACGUCCUCAAAGUUUCCCAAAUUAACCGACAUAAUGUAAUGUUCACCAACCGCAUUACAUUCACCAUUGAGGAAGCACUUACUCCGUGCUUCUUACAACAUCAAUUAACAGUAACCAUAACCCGGAAUGCAACAUUUCGACAUCAUCAAAAGGUUUGGAAUUUAAGCCAACUAAUUACAAACUCUUUAAAGAAUGUGCAACAGUUCCACAAUUUGCACCAGGUCAAAGACAACAAUAUUCGCAUCACUAUUGAGAUUGAUCCAAUACCAACAAAAUUCAGAAGGCGGGCGAUAAGUAAUCAACCAUAACACCGUAAAUGACAAUGAUAAACAAUCCAGUUCGGAAGGCAACUUAUGACACUAUUUCGAGAAACAACAGAAAGCAACAGUAAAACUAAUUCUUCUGUCUGCAAACGACAGCGCGGGAAUUCCAAGCAGGGAAAUACGAUUCAACCGAGGUAAUAUCCGGAUACCAAAGCUUCAUGGUCACGUUCCCACAGGAGACGACAUCAACUGAAUCAACUACAUCAUCUUCAAGACAAACCAGUACAACAGAGAAGCAACGAUACCAUUCAUCUGAGACCUGAAACUAACCAAUUGAUCUGGACAUUUAACAAGAAGAGGUAGAAAUCAAUGGUAGACGAACAACCCCUACGACGAAUCAAGAGGAGCAGCAGCAAGUACCAAUGAAGUCAAUCUCUUGAGGAAGAAUGUAAGAAGGUUAAUACAAAAUUUAAAGUUUCUUUGGGAUAUUCAGAUCAAUCAACUGUAGUGGAAAAUAUUGUAAGACACUUACUGGGAAGAUAAAGAUUAGUUUAGCAGUUUCAGUUUAGAAAAUUAACGAUCAUCGUUAACGUCAUCAUCUAAAUGAAGUUUUGGGGGAUACAUUUUACCCACAUCCUUACAUUUGAACGUGAUUUUAUACACGUUCAAACUCCGCUAAGUGGGAGGGCAUGCAACGCCUAAAUAUUCCCACGCCUUCCGAUAUUCUAAGUCAAUUCAACUGUGAAAGAAAAAGAUGCAUUUCCCCCCCCACACACUCCCGUUAGAGUAGCUGCCUGGGUGUGUUUUUAUUUCAAUUUUUCACCAACAGCUACGCUCUAGGUAGGUUCUACCCACUUCACGCGCUGUAAAUUGGAAGCAACGGGAAACAUACCAUUCGUUACUGACUUUGUUUUUAUGACCCAUCAUCGCACCCGGUGAUGGCCGGGUGCGAUCGUGUUCAAACACGGGAGUCGAGCCGGUAAAUCCACAAUAUGCUUGGUGGGUCAAUGGUCGCUGGGUUUGAUUGUCGGCGACCGAUUCCAAGGCUCAAUUGUAAACCUGUAAAGGUUUUGUUUUUGAUCUAAAAUGUCGUACUGGACGUUGACUAAAACAACAUCCGUACGGUGUCCUGGUUUCGCGGGGCAGCGACCGCGCAGCGAUGCGUUUGUUUUGUUUUCCAUGAUCGUAUAUGUUGGGUCCGGUUGGUUUGGUGCAGCUCUGAUUACGCUCGGUGGGCCGUCGAUAGGAAUGCCAUGGAACGGAUACCCUAUCGAUCGCGCUAGAAUGUUGCGAAAAUCAAGGCGCCGUAUUGGCCGCAUAUGGCUUUAGGUAGCCUAGAUUGUUUUGGUUUUGAAAUCGAGGCACUGUAUCUGCCGAGAAUGGUUUCAGGUAGCCGUGAUUGUUUUCACUUGGUUCGAUUUUUGAACCCAGGUGAACCAUAAAAGGAAUGUUGAAAAUCGAAAUCGUACUGGCGGCAUAGGGGCGCCGGAAUUGUUUUGUACUCGAUUUUGUUUUGACUUCGAGUAAAAGAAUGUGGGGUAUAAUUUCAACGAACAUCCGCGGCCGAGCCCGGCUAGGGGUCAUUGUGCACAAGCAAGGGUACAUUUGAAUAACAAGGCGGUUGCUUUGUUUUGAAGAAUUGGGUGCCAAGUCCGAAAGAUGAUGGCGCUAAGAAUGAUGAUGAUGAUGAUGAUGAUAAUGAUGAUGAUAAUGAUGAUGAUGACGAUGAUGACGAUGAGGAUGAUGGUGAAGAUGACGAUAUGACACGCCCAAGCAUUGAAGAUGCCCAAGUGAGGCGGGGCUAGACGAUGUAGGCCUUCGGGUAAAGAUUCUUAGAAGGGGUUUUUGCGAACACGCCCAAGUCAGGCGUGGUUAGGAAAUUAGGUUUUUUUUAUCAGAACUAGGAUUUUUGGUAGGGCUUGGGAUACGCCCAAGACACGGCUAGGCUUGGGAUACGCCCAAGAGAAAAGAGAUUUUUCAAGAAGAGAAAGAUGUAAAACACGAUGUGGACAAGUAGGAAAGGUAGAAGGUUUUGGGACGUUUUAGUAUUUACAUUUUUUUAGGUUUUUGGACACGCCCAAGAUGGGUUGGGCAACGUUAGGAAUUUUCGUGACUUCUUCGGGUAUUGCUAGGAAAUUUAGGCUAUAAAUACGGAGGUUUUGGCUUCAGUCGGGGGCAGUUGUUGAAGAACAGAGUAAUCGAGGAGAGUUCGACGUUAGAGUUGUUGAAGAACGGAGUUGUUGAGUUCAAAGACAGUCAGUGAGACAGUGGGUCAGUUUCAACGCUAGAGUGUUCAAUCUUGGUUCAGAAAAGACAGUAGUUGUAAAAGUUCAGUUUUUCAACGUAAGAGUAAAAGUCCAGUUCGGUUCAGUUUUUUCAACUUCGGUGAAGAAAUACAGAAAGGUGAUAUAAGAAAAAAAUUGAAUCAUUGUAAUAUAAGUUAAGUGAUGGUUUGUGAUAUUUCAAUAUAGAUUAUUAAAAAGAUA